Molecule: long non-coding RNA, 1006 nt
Organism: Onychostoma macrolepis
Lineage: Eukaryota; Metazoa; Chordata; Actinopteri; Cypriniformes; Cyprinidae
Exons: 3
Source: RefSeq, a predicted model, not a curated record
GUUUGAGUGCCUCCUGGUGGUUAAAAUAUUUCAGAGGUUUGGUAUUUUGUCCCUGAGCGCCCGCCGUAGUUCAUCAGAAAACGAGGGAAACUAUUAAGGAUCUGCUCCUCCUUCAGUGAAGCUCCUCCCACAACAAUCACAUCAUCAGUGAAGCUCCUCCCACUGCAGUUCAGCAAUAAAUGCUGGAAUAUUCCCAUCAGUCUACAAGUGAAGACGAGCAUCAGAGCAUCAGGAAGAAGUGAAAUCUGCAGAGACAGAGUUCAUUGAAGGACAGAGAGAACAUGAGAGAUCCAGAACCCUGCAGAAUGAAACACACUGAAGAACAAACAGAUCUAAUGGAGGAGAAACAACAUCAUGUCAAAACUGGAGAAAAAAACUUGCUCACAGACUGAAAGUAUUUCUUUACUGAAAAGAAGAGACAAAAGCUUCACCUGCACUCAGUGUGGAAAGAGUUUCACACAAAAAGGAAACCUUAAGGACCACAUGAAGAUCCACACUGGAGAGAAACUGCAUGAAUGUAAUCAAUGUGGAAAAACAUUUUUGUGGGCUUCAAGCCUGAAGGAUCACCUGAAAGUUCAUUCAAAGGAGAAACCACAUUCAAGUUCUUUAUGUGGAAAGAGUUUUUCACAUCUGUAGAGUUUAAAAGUUCAUCAGAAGAUACACACUGGUGUGAGAGAUCAUAUGUGCUUUGAGUGUGCGAAGACUUUUAUUACAGCUGAAGAAUUGAAACGGCACCAGAGGAUUCACACUGGAGAGAAACCUUACAAGUGUUCACACUGCGACAAGAGAUUCAAUCAUUCAGGAAGCCUAAAAAAACAUGAGAGGAUCCACACUGGAGAGAAACCGUAUCACUGAACUGCAUGCGGGAAGAGUUUCAGUCAUUCUUCUUCUCUACGCAGGCAUAAAAUAAACUAUCACAUUAAGUAGUUUAUCUUCAGGUCCAACGCUUUCAAGUGCUACACCGCAUCUCUUCCAUAUUAAUCUGUCAUAAGAAACAUCAGUAACA